Molecule: ribosomal RNA, 493 nt
Filed under: uncultured bacterium
Lineage: Bacteria
Description: partial 16S ribosomal RNA
Rfam family: Bacterial small subunit ribosomal RNA
Source: RNAcentral
GACGAACGCUGGCGGCGGGCUUAACACAUGCCAGUCGAACGGUGAAGCGCCUUCCUUUUUGGCGGGUGGGGAUGGGUGGAGAACUGGGGAGUAAGACGGCAGUAACCUGCCCCCUGCUGCUGGAUAACCCCAUGAAAGUGUGGCUAAUACGGGACAUUCUGAGUCGGUCGCAUGAUGGGACUAGAGAAGCGGUUGUUUUGGUGGGGAGGGGGUCUCGGCCUGUCAGCUUGUUGGUGGGGUGGUGGCCUACCAGGGCGGAGGCGAGUAGCCGGGCUGAGGGGGUGACCGCUCGCCGUGGGGCUGCGGCGCGGCGCAGACUCCUACGGGAGGCAGCAGUGGGGAAGAUUGCUCGAUGGGCGCAAGCCUGAUGCAGCGGCGCCGCGUGAGGGAUGGUGGCCGUCGGGUUGAGAACCUCUUUCGCCAGUGAAGCAGGCCUGCCUUGUUUGUGGGGGGAUUGACGGUAGCUGGAUAAGAAGCGCCGGCUAACUACGUG